Xiphophorus hellerii (green swordtail) is the source of this 1843-nucleotide long non-coding RNA. RefSeq lists it as uncharacterized. The record is from RefSeq and is a predicted model, not a curated record. NCBI's taxonomy places the organism in Eukaryota, Metazoa, Chordata, Actinopteri, Cyprinodontiformes, Poeciliidae. The transcript is spliced from 2 exons.
AUAUAUAUAUAUAUAUAUAUAUAUAUAUAUCUGCAGAUCAAUAUAAGACAUAACUUCUGUUGUUACUGCUAUUAUCAAUGUUAUUACUAUUUAAUGAAGUUGUCAAAUAUUACUGUAUUGUAUAUUCAUUUAGAAAUAAUUUUCUAACAAGUUAAAAAUAAUGCUUGCUUAUAUGGGCAUGCAAUUAUGAAUACACUUUACUAGUUAUAGACAUGAUAUAGAAAAUAAUAAUAAUACUAUAAUAAUACUGUUAAAACUAAGUUAACAUGAAAAGUAAUUUAUCGGAUGAUGAUACAAAUGUAAGAGGGGUUAAAAAUAAGUUCGUACUUCUACCCACUCCUUUGAAUGUGUAAAUGUAUAUUGAACUUUACUCCCGUUCUUCUUUUGUUUUAAAUCUAUUUUAUUUGUAUAUAACUUUGUUUAUUCUUUAAUUACACUACGUUCAUUAAAGCCAAACCAAAACCAUCCAAUAUUCAUAAUACCAUCCCAGGAACCUUUCAUCUAAUCUGUGCUUUUCUGCACAGAAGAAUUGACAAAAACUUAAACAUGCACAAAACUGGUAGAAUCAUUUAUCUCAAAAGACCUAAAGCAGUGAAAAAGACACAUGGUGUUAGUACAAAUACACCCCACACAUUUCAGAUUUGUCUUUGAGAAACAAAGCCAAUAAUCAUGUUAAUAUGUGUAUUUAUUAAUGUGGUUCAUGUUCAGUCAGGUUAACAGUCACCUUUGUGGUGACCUAGGUUUUGCCUUUCAGGCUGCGUAACCUGCAAAGUAUAAGGUGAGUCACUUUCUUCAAUGUUGUGAGAAUAGCAGUAGCCUCUUUAUGCUACACAACUUUAUUGACUAUAUGUCACACAAUACAGUUUUGUUUUGAAACUACAAUGUUUUGACUUGUUCUCAUUCAUGUCUCAUAGUGAACUAAACUAAAAACAUGUGAGGAGAUUAUGUCUCAACAUGUCUAAGGCUUUAUGAGCUAUUUGUAUAAUUAACCUCAACAAAAGUUUCUCGGUGAAGAAAAAUGGUUCUUAUUUUACUUGACUGAAAACAUUAAAAUAGUAAUACAAAUGAUGAAUGUGUCUACGUUUCCGUCUGAGCUUUACCUCAAAUGCUGAUAGGUUUACCUCAUUGCAUCGUUUUUUUUGUCUCCUUAUUCCCCGCCCUUUGUUGACCUGUUUUGUUCCCAUAGUGACUCCCGCGUCGGCCUCCUAUUGGUCACCCCGCAGAGGUAGCGGCAGGUGAGGGAGCGCGAGUGCGUGGGUGUGACAGGCACAGGAUUUACGGAACGGGGUGGGGCCGGAGGGCUGCCGCGGAAAGAUAAACACUGUAAUAUAGAAGUGGGUGGGGGUGAACAAUGGAGCAAUAAACCUAUAGAAGGCUGUGAUAAAUGGAGAGAGAAAUGGGCUUAAAAGAGGAGGAGGGCGCCGCGGUGAGACAGCGAGAAGGGGAGGAGGCUCUCCACCGCGGCUCCGCUACUCUCGCUGCUUUCUCAGAAACAGGAACUUGCCCGUUGAACCGUCGUCCCUGUACGUCAGAGGCUCGAUGACGGACCCGUGUAUCUGUUGCUGUGGCAACUCGGCAACGAUAAACAUCCGGAUGACAUCUCUAAGGACGUGUGUGUGGAAAUGAGAACAGUCCCCUGUUCCUGCUGAACUGAGCCAGCCGACGUCACACACUGAUUAUCAGCACAGCAGGCACAGGAGACCGACCCAGCGGGUGGUGAGGAGAAGCGACGACGGAGGUAAUUUUUCACACACAGAGACAGACACAAUCCCACAGCAUCAGACCAACAGGCAGUGAUGCUCUUUUGAAAAAAAAAAGAAAAAAAAACCUAACAGGUGGAAGC